RNAcentral lists this unclassified non-coding RNA (1614 nucleotides) under Hevea brasiliensis (rubber tree). Lineage: Eukaryota; Viridiplantae; Streptophyta; Magnoliopsida; Malpighiales; Euphorbiaceae. The record is from RNAcentral.
ACAGACAAUUGGACUAGUUUUGCAAGUAGUGUAAUGUUCUGUACUCGGUAAAUUUUAGCUUCAACAAAAUGCAGCAGAUUUACUUUGCUCCACUGCCCCAAAUAAAUGCUGUACAACUUCCUUGGUGACCUGGAAAAAGUUGAACUUCAGAUCAUACUGAUUGAAGUAAUUCACUUUCUCCCAUCUCUUUAAUCUUCGGAGGAGAUCUCAUCACCUUAACCCGAAAUUUUGCCUUCUCAUCUGAACCAAACUCAAUCACAUCUGAUGGGUGAAAUCGAGUAGGAAAGUUUGGAGGCACCCUAUGUCGUCUCCCUUCAUUAUGUGUGAUAAAGGUGCCAUGUUUGCUCCCCAAAUCAAUUAGGUAAAAAGCACCAUCUUUAUAGCUAAUAUGAGCAUGCAUAUUGGAGACCUGUGACAAGGGUAACACUAUAGACCUUCCAGGAAAAUCUUCAAGCGACACAUUACCAACCAUGCAGGGUGCGUUCUCAUCCCUACUUAAACAGAUAGGUUCUGAAACAACGUCAUCAUUCCCACACGGUAAAAGAAACCCCUCUCCAUUAAGAGCACGCUCCAGUGCGUCAUCGUUUUCAAACCAUGUCCGUAACUGGUCGCUAGCUUUGUCUGAAAGUCUGCAACAUUGAGACCUCCCUUCAAGUUUUGAGCUAUUACCACCUAAGACCCAACUGAGCAUUAAAGGCAUUGCUAUGUCAAUAAAAAAUCUCCCACCAACUCUUCCUGGAUGUGGUAUCCGAAACUUUGUCAAGAACGACAAUGGACCAAGGCCAACUCCCAAAUACGCCUUGUAAGGAAAGUAAAAGCCAUAAUUGCUGCCAUUCUUGCCAUUCCAUGGAUGAUGGAAACUCGAAGUCUUCUAGCAAUCUCAUAGCUCUUUAGGGAUGAAACAACAUCAAUGGGUGUUCCUGAUUCAAUGCUUUGUUUCCAUGCUUUAUCAAGCUCCAAUGCAAGUUGAUAACUAUCCUCAAUUGCCAUGCACCCCCCCUGACCCAUAUUUGGCUGCAUGGCAUGGACUGAAUCUCCAAGCAAGGUCACACGACCCCUUCCCCAUGUAAAUAUGGGUGCUCUAUCAUAUAUGUCACGUCGAAGAAUGGCAUCUUCUUCUGUGGCAAGUAUCAAAUCUGUUACAUUGUCACACCAACCCUCAAAUAUUUGUAGCAGCCUUUCCUUUUUACCAUUAGGUCUAUCCAUGCCACCAGGUGGUUCCUUGUGAAAUGCGUACCACUGCAUCUUUCCAGCACCCACAUCUGAAGAAACAAAGUAUUGUUUAUGACCCAAAAAUACUCGAUACCCCACAGUCUCAAUAUCAACAGGCACGAAAUCUGCAAUGCCAGUAUAACAAGUGUAGCCAGAGUAUGUGGCUUCCUUAUGCCCAAAUAAAUUCUUCCUCACAUUUGACCAUAUUCCAUCAGCACCAACUAGGAGAUCACCCUCGUAACGCUGUCCAUUCUCAAGCAUCACAGUGACCUUAUUCCCGUGAUCCUCAAAAUUAACAACAUUACUUUCAUUGAGAAUCACGUCUUCUCCAACAGCACGAGCUAGGAUUUGUUGCAAAGUCAUUCGGCUAAUAACUCUUGUGACUGGAAGACCUCGUUCUGC